GAAACGGGCGCUAAUACCGCAUACGUCCUGAGGGAGAAAGUGGGGGAUCUUCGGACCUCACGCUAUCAGAUGAGCCUAGGUCGGAUUAGCUAGUUGGUGGGGUAAAGGCCUACCAAGGCGACGAUCCGUAACUGGUCUGAGAGGAUGAUCAGUCACACUGGAACUGAGACACGGUCCAGACUCCUACGGGAGGCAGCAGUGGGGAAUAUUGGACAAUGGGCGAAAGCCUGAUCCAGCCAUGCCGCGUGUGUGAAGAAGGUCUUCGGAUUGUAAAGCACUUUAAGUUGGGAGGAAGGGCAGUAAGUUAAUACCUUGCUGUUUUGACGUUACCAACAGAAUAAGCACCGGCUAACUUCGUGCCAGCAGCCGCGGUAAUACGAAGGGUGCAAGCGUUAAUCGGAAUUACUGGGCGUAAAGCGCGCGUAGGUGGUUCAGCAAGUUGGAUGUGAAAUCCCCGGGCUCAACCUGGGAACUGCAUCCAAAACUACUGAGCUAGAGUACGGUAGAGGGUGGUGGAAUUUCCUGUGUAGCGGUGAAAUGCGUAGAUAUAGGAAGGAACACCAGUGGCGAAGGCGACCACCUGGACUGAUACUGACACUGAGGUGCGAAAGCGUGGGGAGCAAACAGGAUU
This 631-nucleotide ribosomal RNA is filed under the name uncultured Pseudomonadaceae bacterium. Its description in RNAcentral is "SSU rRNA". It matches the Rfam family "Bacterial small subunit ribosomal RNA", at positions 153 to 779 of the family's 1533-position model. Lineage: Bacteria; Pseudomonadati; Pseudomonadota; Gammaproteobacteria; Pseudomonadales; Pseudomonadaceae. The record is from RNAcentral.